Molecule: unclassified non-coding RNA, 357 nt
Filed under: soil metagenome
Description: partial contains 5.8S ribosomal RNA, internal transcribed spacer 2, and large subunit ribosomal RNA
Rfam family: 5.8S ribosomal RNA (bases 1-120)
Source: RNAcentral
GAUGAAGAACGUAGCGAAAUGCGAUAAGUAAUGUGAAUUGCAGAAUUCAGUGAAUCAUCGAAUCUUUGAACGCACAUUGCGCCCGCUGGUAUUCCGGCGGGCAUGCCUGUUCGAGCGUCAUUUCAACCCUCAAGCUCUCCGAAGUUUGGUGUUGGGGCGCCUGGGGCUUUUCGACCUCAGGGCCCUCAAGUCCAUCGGCGGGACCGCCAGGACACUGAGCGCAGUAGUAUUAUUUCGCUCGGUAGGAUCUUCCACGGCGGGUCGAUCUGGCCGCUAAACCCCCCAAUUCUCACCAAAGGUUGACCUCGGAUCAGGUAGGAAUACCCGCUGAACUUAAGCAUAUCAAUAAGCGGAGGA